UGGACAUUUAUUCUUCUUCAGUUUCUUCUCAAGGUGAAGAUAACUCUUCAUAAAUGUCCUAGAGAAGAAUAGUAGCUUUCUGUUCACCCUUUGCAACUUAAAAGGGUGGAUCAUUCCACUACUGACGCUU
Molecule: small nucleolar RNA, 130 nt
Organism: Echinops telfairi (small Madagascar hedgehog)
Lineage: Eukaryota; Metazoa; Chordata; Mammalia; Afrosoricida; Tenrecidae
Source: Ensembl